UACGGAGGGUGCAAGCGUUAUCCGGAUUCACUGGGUUUAAAGGGUGCGUAGGUGGGCCUGUAAGUCAGCGGUGAAAUCUCCGGGCUUAACCCGGAAACUGCCAUUGAUACUAUAGGUCUUGAAUUAUCUGGAGGUAAGCGGAAUAUGUCAUGUAGCGGUGAAAUGCUUAGAUAUGACAUAGAACACCGAUUGCGAAGGCAGCUGGCUACAGGAAUAUUGACACUGAGGCACGAAAGCGUGGG
RNAcentral lists this ribosomal RNA (242 nucleotides) under uncultured bacterium. Its description in RNAcentral is "partial 16S ribosomal RNA". It matches the Rfam family "Bacterial small subunit ribosomal RNA", at positions 524 to 765 of the family's 1533-position model. The record is from RNAcentral.